UGUAAAGUAAGGCUUCUAUGUCAGAU
This 26-nucleotide non-coding RNA is filed under the name Rattus norvegicus (Norway rat). Lineage: Eukaryota; Metazoa; Chordata; Mammalia; Rodentia; Muridae. The record is from RNAcentral.